GCCCGUAUAGCUCAGUGGUAGAGCAUUGUACUUAUGAGGAUAUCCACCCAUUGCAUGCAAGGGUCUCGAGUUCGACCCUCGAUAUGGGCA
Laccaria bicolor S238N-H82 is the source of this 90-nucleotide transfer RNA. It matches the Rfam family "tRNA". From Rfam's summary of the family: Transfer RNA (tRNA) molecules are approximately 80 nucleotides in length. Their secondary structure includes four short double-helical elements and three loops (D, anti-codon, and T loops). Further hydrogen bonds mediate the characteristic L-shaped molecular structure. tRNAs have two regions of fundamental functional importance: the anti-codon, which is responsible for specific mRNA codon recognition, and the 3' end, to which the tRNAs corresponding amino acid is attached (by aminoacyl-tRNA synthetases). tRNAs cope with the degeneracy of the genetic code in two manners: having more than one tRNA (with a specific anti-codon) for a particular amino acid; and 'wobble' base-pairing, i.e. permitting non-standard base-pairing at the 3rd anti-codon position. The record is from Rfam. NCBI's taxonomy places the organism in Eukaryota, Fungi, Basidiomycota, Agaricomycetes, Agaricales, Hydnangiaceae.